This 764-nucleotide ribosomal RNA is filed under the name uncultured prokaryote. RNAcentral describes it as "bacterial SSU rRNA". It matches the Rfam family "Bacterial small subunit ribosomal RNA", at positions 28 to 783 of the family's 1533-position model. The record is from RNAcentral.
GAUGAACGCUAGCGACAGGCCUAACACAUGCAAGUCGAGGGGUAGCACAGGAUAGCUUGCUAUUUGGGUGACGACCGGCGCACGGGUGAGUAACGCGUAUGCAACCUGCCUAUAAGAGGGGGAUAGCCUUUCGAAAGAAAGAUUAAUACCGCAUAAUACUAUUUACCUGCAUGGGUAAAUAGUUAAACUAUUUGGCUUAUAGAUGGGCAUGCGUUCCAUUAGAUAGUUGGUGAGGUAACGGCUCACCAAGUCAGCGAUGGAUAGGGGUUCUGAGAGGAAGGUCCCCCACACUGGUACUGAGACACGGACCAGACUCCUACGGGAGGCAGCAGUGAGGAAUAUUGGUCAAUGGGCGAGAGCCUGAACCAGCCAAGUCGCGUGAAGGAUGAAGGUCUUAUGGAUUGUAAACUUCUUUUAUAAGGGAAUAAAAAAGAUCACGUGUGGUCUAUUGCAUGUACCUUAUGAAUAAGCAUCGGCUAACUCCGUGCCAGCAGCCGCGGUAAUACGGAGGAUGCGAGCGUUAUCCGGAUUUAUUGGGUUUAAAGGGUGCGUAGGCGGUUUAUUAAGUCAGUGGUGAAAGUUUUCGGCUCAACCGGAAAAUUGCCAUUGAAACUGAUAGACUUGAGUGUAAACGAGGUAGGCGGAAUUCGUGGUGUAGCGGUGAAAUGCNNAGAUAUCACGAAGAACUCCAAUUGCGAAGGCAGCUUACUANGGCUACAACUGACGCUGAAGCACGAAAGCGUGGGGAUCAAACAGGAUUANAU